CAAAUUAUCUAUUAAGUUUAAAAUUGAGAAUGGAAAUGGGGAAUGUGUCAAAGAGACAACAACCCGCCCAAAUAAAAAACAACAGCAGAGGGUCACCAACAGGUCUUCAAUGUAGCGAGAAAUACCCGCACCCGGAGGCGUCCUUCAGCUGGCCCCUAAACAAAUAUAUACUAGUCCAGUGAUAAUGAACACCAUACUAAUUUCCAAAUUGUACACAAGAAACUAAAAUUAAAAUAAUACAAGACUAACAAAGGCCAGAGGCUCCUGACUUGGGACAGGCGCAAAAAUGCGGCGGGGUUAAACAUGUUUGUGAGAUCUCAACCCUCCCCCUAUACCUCUAACCAAUGUAGUAAAGUAAACGCAUAACAAUACGCACAUUAAAAUUCAGUUCAAGAGAAAUCCGAGUCUGAUGUCAGAAGAUGUAACCAAAGAAAAUAAACAAAAUGACAAUAAUAC
This 456-nucleotide long non-coding RNA is filed under the name Mytilus galloprovincialis (Mediterranean mussel). The record is from RNAcentral. Lineage: Eukaryota; Metazoa; Mollusca; Bivalvia; Mytilida; Mytilidae.